GACGAACGCUGGCGGCGUGCCUAAUACAUGCAAGUAGAACGCUGAAGAGAGCAGCUUGCUCUUCUUGGAUGAGUUGCGAACGGGUGAGUAACGCGUAGGUAACCUGCCUUGUAGCGGGGGAUAACUAUUGGAAACGAUAGCUAAUACCGCAUAACAAUGGAUGACACAUGUCAUUUAUUUGAAAGGGGCAAUUGUUCCACUACAAGAUGGACCUGCGUUGUAUUAGCUAGUAGGUGAGGUAAUGGCUCACCUAGGCGACGAUACAUAGCCGACCUGAGAGGGUGAUCGGCCACACUGGGACUGAGACACGGCCCAGACUCCUACGGGAGGCAGCAGUAGGGAAUCUUCGGCAAUGGGGGCAACCCUGACCGAGCAACGCCGCGUGAGUGAAGAAGGUUUUCGGAUCGUAAAGCUCUGUUGUAAGUCAAGAACGGGUGUGAGAGUGGAAAGUUCACACUGUGACGGUAGCUUACCAGAAAGGGACGGCUAACUACGUG
RNAcentral lists this ribosomal RNA (497 nucleotides) under uncultured bacterium. RNAcentral's name for it is "partial 16S ribosomal RNA". It matches the Rfam family "Bacterial small subunit ribosomal RNA", at positions 28 to 507 of the family's 1533-position model. The record is from RNAcentral.